AUUGAGCCAUUAGAAGCACUUCAAUCUCAAUCACAAUGUACUCAUCUUUUCUUGUGGUAACUGAGGUGAAAAAAACAUCAUAUUCAAAGGGUAAAUGGCUUCAAUAUGAUCUUGUAGCGUCUGUUUGUGAUCGGUGGUAGCAAGAAGAUCAACAAUCCCUUUAAUCUUGAGAAGAUAGUCAUUGAGUGUUCCUGUCAUCUUCGUAUUUCAAAGUUGAGUUUUGUAUAGACCUAUAUUCGCAACAUUGAGUACAGUAUAGUACUCAUAGGAGAGCGAUAGGUUUGAGCAGUGGUAUCACAACUGGUCAUACGAUUGGUGGUCUUUUCUGACAUAAAUGACAAUAGCCAAGACACCAGAAGAUUGUCUUGUUGGCUCCCAAUCUUCAAACUCUAGAUUGAUGGUGUUGGAUCUUUCAUCUUCAGCUGUGCUCCCUUUGAUCAAUGCCAGAACUUGAUGUCUCCAUGAUAAAUGGGAUGCAAUCUAAGUAAAGGAACUUGUUGAUCGUUUUGUGGUUGAGCAUUGUUCAACAUUUUCUGACAUAAAUGACAACAACCAAAAAACUAGAAAAUUGUCUUGCUGCUCUCAAUCUUCAAACUCUAAAUCUCUAGAUUGAUUGUGUUGGAUCUUUCAUCUGCAGCGGUGAGGAAUUUUACCGGAGCUCGAGCAUGAUCAAGAUACUUGUAAAGGCAAUGCUCCCUUUGAUCGAUGUCAAAACUUGAUGUCUCCAUUAUAGUUGAGCACAAGGUUGCAAGAAUCUCCAUUGACGAAAGAAAAAGGAACUCUGACACCAUGUGAAGUUUCAAUUUUUUGAGAGGUAAAAUUGUAUUUAGUGUAUUGAUUGUAAAAAAGUGCAAGAAGAGUUUAUAUACACGAGUUAAAAUAACAGGAAACAUAGCAACCCUUCUAACAACUUAGAAACACUCAACUAACACCUCUGUUAGUAAACAGAAUUAAGUAACCGGUAUCCUUGACAAGAACCAACACAAUUUUUAAUAAGCAGAUUGAGCUACAUCUACAUGAUAAAUAUCAUAACUCAACAUACAGAGCCUUUUAUCAGGUUGGAAGUACAAAAUUUAGCACUUUGCCGGAUUUCAUUCUAAGGUCCUUUCCAUAAAUUAAACAUAAAAAAGAGCAUGUACACGUUUAAAAUUCAUCAUCUGAUUCAUCUUCAUCCGACCAACCAAAAGUAGUGACUGAAGGGGGUUUAUACUCAGGCAAGUUUACCGGUGUAUUGUCGGAUUGCAAAUACUGCUUUAACACAAAAUUUCCAG
Molecule: long non-coding RNA, 1271 nt
Organism: Cannabis sativa
Lineage: Eukaryota; Viridiplantae; Streptophyta; Magnoliopsida; Rosales; Cannabaceae
Exons: 2
Source: RefSeq, a predicted model, not a curated record